AACGAGGCCGACCUGCGGCUGAGUUACCUGCGGAAGGAUCAUUACCGAGUUUACAACUCCCAAACCCCUGUGAACAUACCAAUUGUUGCCUCGGCGGAUCAGCCCGCUCCCGGUAAAACGGGACGGCCCGCCAGAGGACCCCUAAACUCUGUUUCUAUAUGUAACUUCUGAGUAAAACCAUAAAUAAAUCAAAACUUUUAGCAAUGGAUCU
Molecule: unclassified non-coding RNA, 211 nt
Filed under: soil metagenome
Description: partial contains 5.8S ribosomal RNA, internal transcribed spacer 2, and large subunit ribosomal RNA
Source: RNAcentral